ACCCUGAGAGAGCAAAGAGGCCGACUGGCUGACUGAGGGAGAGGGGAGCGCCUCGGGCACCGUGAAGGCCCAGGAUCCAGAGCAACCUGCUCCCCUCUGCUCCCCUGGUGAAGCCCCUGGGUCAGCCGGUCCACGGCCAGCAGACAGAGAAGCCAUUCAUGGCACACACUCUCCCCUCCAGAUCUGCGGAUGGCUGGGACCCCCUGCCAUUUAUCCAGCUCCCCAGACACUUUGUGGACAGAACCCAGGUAAUCUGAUUAAGGGGCUCCAGGAAGAGUAGUCUGAGCACGGGAGCACGCUGACCCGCAUGCCCAGCCUCUACCCGCGGAGUGCUGGCAGCAGCCUUCCUCCUGGGUGGGACAACCAAGAUGGCUGCAGGCAGUGCCACAAGUUCCCUGGGA
This is a long non-coding RNA of Neogale vison (American mink), 401 nucleotides long. RefSeq lists it as uncharacterized. The record is from RefSeq and is a predicted model, not a curated record. The transcript has 3 exons. Lineage: Eukaryota; Metazoa; Chordata; Mammalia; Carnivora; Mustelidae.